This 495-nucleotide ribosomal RNA is filed under the name uncultured bacterium. RNAcentral's name for it is "partial 16S ribosomal RNA". It matches the Rfam family "Bacterial small subunit ribosomal RNA", at positions 28 to 507 of the family's 1533-position model. The record is from RNAcentral.
GAUGAACGCUGGCGGCGUGCCUAAUACAUGCAAGUAGAACGCUGAAGGAGGAGCUUGCUCUUCUGGAUGAGUUGCGAACGGGUGAGUAACGCGUAGGUAACCUGCCUGGUAGCGGGGGAUAACUAUUGGAAACGAUAGCUAAUACCGCAUGACAACAGUUAUUGCAUGAUAACUGUUUAAAAGGGGCAACUGCUCCACUACCAGAUGGACCUGCGUUGUAUUAGCUAGUUGGUGAGGUAACGGCUCACCAAGGCGACGAUACAUAGCCGACCUGAGAGGGUGAUCGGCCAACCUGGGACUGAGACACGGCCCAGGCUCCUAAGGGAGGCAGCAGUAGGGAAUCUUCGGCAAUGGACGGAAGUCUGACCGAGCAACGCCGCGUGAGUGAAGAAGGGUUUCGGAUCGUAAAGCUCUGUUGUAAGAGAAGAACGAGUGUGAGAGUGGAAAGUUCACACUGUGACGGUAUCUUACCAGAAAGGGACGGCUAACUACGUG